AUGGGAUGUGGAAGUUCAAACCACUGGGCGCAUUCCCAACAUCUCCUGCGUGGACCAGAGAAAUCACCCAAGCUCUCAGCCCACAACACAGGUUAUUUGGUGACCCAAACACAGUUCAUUAAGAAUUCACUGCUCACCAGUAGCCCCUUCCUCCCAUGUCAAAUGCAAGAUGAACAAAAGAUUAAUAAGGCACAGAACAGACUCAACUACCUCAAGCCCGUGUCAGGAGAUUUUUUUUUUUUCUUAACAAAUGGAGAAUUUUACUCGGUGCCUAGUAAUUCUGGAUAUAUAGUCCUUCAUAUUUUCCAGGCAAAUUGUCAUCACCCCAGACAGGGGCAUUUAUCUGCUAGCAAAAGCAUAUCACUGUCACAUAUGUUUGAAAAUCGCCAGGCCUUUUCUAAGCUUUCACAAAAGAGCCGGGGGAAGGAGGGGGAAGAAAACUUGUUUCAGAAAAGUUUAUGAGCAGGACGAGCUCAAUUUUCACAUACAAGUAAUGCUCAAAUAUGAUUUUUAUAAAGUUCCUCCAAGAAACAAUCUUCUUUAAGGAAUAUCAAUCUAAGAGGUAAUUUUUUUUCCCCUUUUAGGAAAAAAAAAAAAAAUGUGAGUCAGAAUUAGAAUGUCUUGCCAGGCAGUAAAGGGAGCAGCUCUGGGCCGUCACCAUGGACGUGUGAUCGAAUGAUCAUAUUCUGACGCUGUGCUUUUGAUUAUCUGCGUUUUGAAGGAUAUUCUUGGCUUAUUUGUGAUCUAAUUUGGCAAGACAUUUCUAAUGACAGAACUGGCAUCUGCAGAGAAAAAGAAAGACAGAAACUUGCAUUUCUCAAUGGUUUUAGCNNNNNNNNNNNNNNNNNNNNNNNNNNNNNNNNNNNNNNNNNNNNNNNNNNNNNNNNNNNNNNNNNNNNNNNNNNNNNNNNNNNNNNNNNNNNNNNNAGCCUGCAAGCCCCUCUGUGGCCUCCCUGGACCACCCUGGAUGAGAAUGUAUGCAUUUAUGUCCCUCCACCCUCUCUUUCCUAUUCUUUAUGUUUUGGGGGUAAUGAGGUAGUACAGAGGCUCUCCACGUGUGGACUCUGAACCAGCAGCACCCAGCAUCAUCUGGGAACUUGUCAGAGAUGCAAAUUCCCAGCCCCACCCCUGCCCCCAGGCCUAGUGAAUCAGAAACUCUGAGGGUGAACUCAGCAGGGAGAAAGGGGUAAAGCGGUGAUUCCAGGUGAUUCUCACACUGCAGCAUCCAUCAGACACACCUGAAGGGUUUGCUAAGCUGCAGAGUCCUUAGCCAUCCCCUGCCUGCCCGCUCUGGAGAGCUUCUGGCAUCUAGCCUCCCUGCUCCUCCUCUGCGUCACAGCCCAGAGUGGACAUCUCGGACAUGGCUUUGGCUAUGAUGAGCCUAGAUCAUGUGUCCAUACCCAAGGUGCCAAGGAAUGAGCAGGGCAAGUACAGGAGUGGGGUUCCAGAGGGGAGAUGGACCCAUGGCUGGCCCACAGCACACACCACAGAGACUCUCCAACAGGAGAGGAGUUCGGAGGCUGGGUAACCAAACUGGUAAAUACCCACCACGAAGCGGGAUGGUGGCAAGAAGGUUCAGGAAGCAGACUCAAGGAUGCUCCUGAAAGGCCCCUUUCCCUGAGGACCCCACCCCCAACUGUGUCAAAGUGGCAAAGGCAGAGGGCCCAGUUCCUGUGAGUCUCUGCCUGGGAUGCCCAGCCACUCUCUCUCAUGGCUGAAGCCUGCGUAUCCCUCAAGAGCCGGGACAAACACGGCCCCAUAGAGUCUUUCCGAGACUCCAGACUCCUGCUUUUGCUGUCAGUGGAAACAACAUUCCCUGUGCACAGACACUGUUGCGUGUCCACCAAACCAUGAUCACUAUGCUCCUGGGCCCAGAGCCAGAAUGCCUUUUUCCAGUCCCUUUGCAUCGAAGUGGGGACAUGCUACGGUUCUGGGCUCCACUUUAGGACCUGGACCCAAGAGGGAUACCUAAUUCCCUCUCCUCUCUCCUAUGUCCACCUGCAAGGAAGUGAAGCAGCCAGCACAAAUGUGUCACUCGAUGGAAAGAGUCCAGGUGCCUGAGUCAUCACCUGGAAGAGGCCACCCAGGGGACCCAUGUCAUCUGCAGUGGACGCUGCAAGAGGAAGAAAUUAAUGUGCCCCAUGCUAGCUCACUAUGAUUUGGAAGUUGUUUAUUACAGCAGCUAGUAAUAGUUACGCACUAAUCAACCCUCCCUUCCAUUCCUGCCAAGCCGUUUGUACCUGCCUCUGCUCUCUCACUUCCCAUUUACAUUAUGGUUAGUUUUUAAAGUGCUCAUCUUCCCAUAAAAUUACAGGUUUCUUUACUCUACUGUUUUUUUUU
Molecule: long non-coding RNA, 2340 nt
Filed under: Capra hircus (goat)
Lineage: Eukaryota; Metazoa; Chordata; Mammalia; Artiodactyla; Bovidae
Description: lncRNA (ENSCHIG00010013930.1)
Source: RNAcentral